This 101-nucleotide microRNA precursor is filed under the name Dasypus novemcinctus (nine-banded armadillo). RNAcentral's name for it is "miRNA (ENSDNOG00000034379.1)". Lineage: Eukaryota; Metazoa; Chordata; Mammalia; Cingulata; Dasypodidae. The record is from RNAcentral.
GAGGGACCGGCGGCGAUCAGCGCUCAGCCCGGUGCCCAGGGGCUCUCCCUCUGACUCAAAGGCUGCCUGGCGCAGGGCCUGCAGCUGGUCUCGCUGUUCCU